RNAcentral lists this transfer RNA (67 nucleotides) under Lebia chlorocephala. RNAcentral's name for it is "tRNA-Tyr". It matches the Rfam family "tRNA". Rfam says of the family: Transfer RNA (tRNA) molecules are approximately 80 nucleotides in length. Their secondary structure includes four short double-helical elements and three loops (D, anti-codon, and T loops). The record is from RNAcentral. Lineage: Eukaryota; Metazoa; Arthropoda; Insecta; Coleoptera; Carabidae.
GGUAAAAUGGCUGAGGAUAUUAGGCGAUAAACUGUAAAUUUAUUUAGGAAAGUUAUUUCUUUUACCA